AUGUUUCUGGCCCAAACAAAGUGCUAGCGGAAGAGGAGCGAAAGCACACGGAUAACACCAGCUAUGGUUCGUACUUGCUGUGCGGUCGGUUGUAAUGUUAGAUCGCACGACCGGCAAGGGAAUAAGCUUGAAAUGGUUUAUCUUUUCAUUCUUUCCCCACCUGGAAGCAACAUGAGGCAGCUCGUGUAUCAGAUGUUACCAAAAGAAGACGUCUAGUCUGGAUAGCAGCUGUGAGACGAGCUGAUAUCCAGCUCUCUUCCAUCUCCAAAUAUCUGUUGGUGCUCCAGACAUUUUCAUUCCGGCAAACCAGCCUAUGAAAUGGAUGAAACACAUCGUGACUGGGUUCCAGCGCUACACAAGGGGCACUCCGAAAUCCCUGCUUCAAACAUACCGCCAUGCCAAUCAGAUUACUUCUUCCAUGUGAGGGUGAAGAUGUGACCCUUCUGGAUAAGAUGGUGAAGGUUUGCUGCGUGUUGGUGAACAGUGUGGUAGUAAAACCAGGGAAAAAUGAAA
Long non-coding RNA from Oreochromis niloticus (Nile tilapia), 513 nucleotides. RefSeq lists it as uncharacterized. Lineage: Eukaryota; Metazoa; Chordata; Actinopteri; Cichliformes; Cichlidae. The record is from RefSeq and is a predicted model, not a curated record. The transcript is spliced from 2 exons.